This 253-nucleotide ribosomal RNA is filed under the name uncultured bacterium. RNAcentral's name for it is "partial 16S ribosomal RNA". It matches the Rfam family "Bacterial small subunit ribosomal RNA", at positions 524 to 776 of the family's 1533-position model. The record is from RNAcentral.
UACGAAGGGGGCUAGCGUUGCUCGGAAUCACUGGGCGUAAAGCGCACGUAGGCGGCUUUUUAAGUCAGAGGUGAAAUCCUGGAGCUCAACUCCGGAACUGCCUUUGAUACUGGAGAGCUUGAGUCCGGGAGAGGUGAGUGGAACUGCGAGUGUAGAGGUGAAAUUCGUAGAUAUUCGCAAGAACACCAGUGGCGAAGGCGGCUCACUGGCCCGGUACUGACGCUGAGGUGCGAAAGCGUGGGGAGCAAACAGG